CUAGUAAGGGUGGUGGUGUGUGCCGGCGCGGCGGCGGCGGGCGAUUGGUGGCAUCCCGUCGGAGGAGAAAGGCGAACCGCCGACCCCGAGAAGCGGAGGCGCUCCCAAAGGCGCCGCGUGCCUUGUCGUCCUCGUCCGGCGCGACUCUCCACUUCCCUCUACCGACGGUACCAACCUCGCGCGUCCCGAGAGAAGCGGCGGGCGAUGAGGGGAGCGCCGUUCGAGCGCCGGCGCGAGGAGAGGGGGUGGGCAGCUCAGCCAAGAGGAGCGUCAGAAGGUCGACUUUCUCCUACGGGCGCAAGAAACCAAGGUUUAGCUCCGCGACCGUCACACCGUAGGCUUGUUUAACUACCUCUGAUAGUGGCACUAACCCCCCACGUUUUGCGUCCCUUGAUGCCUCUCAGGGCGAGUUUUGUGAGUGGACUAGUAAAGUCGGCGGGGAACGUCUCCCUGGGGGGAAGUCGAUUAAGAAGUCUUCCGUAACUAUCUUUAUUUCCACACGUACGACUACCGCCACAGUUACGUGUAAUACCUACGUUAAGACUUGUCGGAAUGGUCUCGCCUGGAAUGGUCUCCCCACCUAGCAUACCGAAUGGUCUAUCAGCGGUCGGUAUAUGACCACGUUCUUACUUAUUGCUCGGUGGACCUAUAUGACGGUCCGUUAGCAUACCCCCGUUAUCACGUAUACCGGUGGUUUUGGGGUUCCCGCUAUAUGGUUCACGAGUAGUCGUCGUCUGACAGUGUGGACGAUAAUUACCGGAAAGACGUCUACCAUUACACGCUUCUCCAGCACUGCAAUGACCUAUACUAACGCCGAGACCUAUGUUAAGGGCUUCAUUGGUCCUCUCGAUAUGAUCACCCGUCAUGCCUAUACCGGGCAGUCGUGUCAGUGUAGUUUCGAGUUGACCUUCACUGGUCGUUCAGAAAGUCGUUGUCUUCCAACUAGCUUAUAGAUUACCAUUAAUGAAGUUGUUCGGACCGUUAAGACGCAGUGUCAUAGGUUGAGGUUCGUCAAGGGUAUUCCUCGUACAACGUCCUAGAGUUGUUCCGGUGUUACCACUAAAACCUAUGUUAUGGUCCGUCGGACUAGUCCCUUCACCACGUAUGUUAGUGGGUUCAGGAUUACCUCCAGGUGGUUCAUGAGUCGUCGUCGUGUUACCGUGACCUAUACGGUGUGUGUUGAAACCAAUGUUGUGGGUUUCAUUGGUCGUCUUGAUAUUACCAUCCGUCUUACCUAUGCCAGGAAGUCCUGUCAGUAUAGUUUUGAAUUGACCUUUGCAAGUCGUCGUCUUACUAAUAGUUUCAGUACUAGGACGUUUAUCCGGACACUUAAGACGGAGUGUCAUAGGCUUAUGAUCGGUAAAGGUAUUCCUCGUACAAGGUCAUAAGGUCGUUCCGGUGUUUCCACUAAAACCUAUGUUACGAAGUGUUCGUAUAGUCUCAGUAAUAUGGUGAUUGUUUUAACUGUGCGUCUCUUUAGUAGCUCUCGUAAAGUACUUACAUUUGUGUCUACAUGUCGUGUCGGUAUUGUCUUGAAUAGGUCUUAGAGUAAGUCUAUAAGUUGGAUAAUGCAGUCGACCCUUGUUGAACUCGUCAUUCGGGAUAGUUCUAUUAUACAUAAAGGUCGUAAGUGACGGACCGUCGGACGGUUUAUUACCUAGUGGAAGACUUCAUAGACUACUUCGGUCGCCGUAUAGGUUUCCAUGAUAACUCCUUGACCUAUUCAAUACACUUCUACCCUUGUAUUUUCUUCGAAACUUUCGAGAUGGCCACGACGUUCCUUUUCCGUAACAUGACGUACGAGGAGUUAUGAAAUUUGACUACGUUCGUACGCGACUACGUACACGAGAACGUCUUCGUUCUGUUUAUGUACUAGUUUAUAGAGUUAGUCUUGAUCGACAACUGUAUCUACAAUUGUUGUUUUAAAACCUGUACAUACGAUUUACACGGAGCUACCUUCUACGUUUCUUUGAAAAGUCAUGAUACCGCGUCGUACUAAACUGUAGAACCUCGUGAUAUUAGAGUCCCAAACACGUAUUACCAGAACCACUUCUUCGUUGACUGAAAAAACUAGCAAAAUUCGUCUGCCCUCUAUUCGGUCUAAGACCGUACAAGUGUGUACAUAAAAACCGGACACCUUAAAACCCUAGUCAACUGCUCCCGUACAACGUAAAACUUAGUUACGUCUUCCUAAAACUAUAUUAAGGAAGGGACCUAGUAAUACGCUCGUAACAAUUAUACGAACCGGUCAGCCCGAUACAACUACUUCGAGCACUUAAACAACUUGCCUACGGAUACCUUGGCUCGCGGCUAUAGACCCUUUCAAACUACUUAUACACGGCUGAAUUACCUAUGAAUCUCGAACCCCUAGCAACACGAGUCUAAUAUCUUGCGGACCUAGGAAGAUCCGACUUACUCGUCAGAUUUUGCCCAGAAAAGGGACAUUUACGAAGUCUGGAACGUUUCCUCUUUCUUUCCUUUUUCCGAUUAUGACGACUUCGAUCCUCGUUUCAAGUACUUAUGUCUCGUCCCCUAGCUAGGGUAGGUCUUUGGGAAUUCUAGAUACUUCUCGACUCCAUGAACCGCCGAGUAUACUUCCUCCGACCGAUAUAACGCCUAUGAGCUAAACACGAAGUGCUGCAACUAGGUCUUUGAUUUCUCCUACGGAACGAUCGAGUGUCACUCUCUGAUCGACAAUCAAUGCCAGAAUAAUGAUCACGACAGGCAAGCGGUUAAGCCCAAUAGUUCUUAGAAGCGAGGACACCUCUAACGGUGUGUCGAAACUUCUAUUAGAGAUUCGAACAACCGGCAGUCUAGUAACGCUCCCUACGUUUCUCCAAGGUGGUAAAACUUUUACCACACACGAGAACGUUUCUAAUAACCAUUUGCAUUACGCUGUACAGAUACGACAAUAGUUUAAAUUAUCCAUCUCUAGGUUUUAAUCAACACAUUUAGGACUUCCAACAACGGAUACUUUGUAAACCAAAUUGGUGUCCAAAGUACAGUCCCUGUGCCACAUAGGAGGGAAGAUACAUUGUAGGAUAAUCACAAGAUGGGACCUUAAAUAAUCGAACUUCGUAAGAAAUAGACUACUACGAGGGAGUGUUCAGUAAUACGUAGCCUUUGAUUUCUAUAUGUGAACCAAACGUCCAUAAGACA
RNAcentral lists this ribosomal RNA (3159 nucleotides) under Triticum aestivum (bread wheat). Its description in RNAcentral is "partial small subunit ribosomal RNA". Lineage: Eukaryota; Viridiplantae; Streptophyta; Magnoliopsida; Poales; Poaceae. The record is from RNAcentral.